This is a non-coding RNA of Lingula anatina, 114 nucleotides long. The record is from Rfam. Lineage: Eukaryota; Metazoa; Brachiopoda; Lingulata; Lingulida; Lingulidae.
GUGGGGUACGGGGACCUGGUCCCCAGUGGGGUGUGGGGGAAACUCGUGGGGACACUGUGUGUGAUAGCGGGUGUACUCACUAUAGCUCUUCCUGUGCCUAUCGUUGUGAAUAAU